UGCCGCGUGUGGGAAGAAGGCCUUCGGGUUGUAAACCACUUUUGUACGGAACGAAACGGUCUGCUCUAAUAAAGUGGGGUAAUGACGGUACCGUAAGAAUAAGCACCGGCUAACUACGUGCCAGCAGCCGCGGUAAUACGUAGGGUGCGAGCGUUAAUCGGAAUUACUGGGCGUAAAGCGUGCGCAGGCGGUUAUAUAAGACAGUUGUGAAAUCCCCGGGCUCAACCUGGGAAUUGCAUCUGUGACUGUAUAGCUAGAGUACGGUAGAGGGGGAUGGAAUUCCGCGUGUAGCAGUGAAAUGCGUAGAUAUGCGGAGGAACACCGAUGGCGAAGGCAAUCCCCUGGACCUGUACUGACGCUCAUGCACGAAAGCGUGGGGAGCAAACAGGAUUAGAUACCCUGGUAGUCCACGCCCUAAACGAUGUCAACUGGUUGUUGGGUGCAUUAGUACUCAGUAACGAAGCUAACGCGUGAAGUUGACCGCCUGGGGAGUACGGCCGCAAGGUUGAAACUCAAA
This 517-nucleotide ribosomal RNA is filed under the name uncultured bacterium. RNAcentral describes it as "bacterial SSU rRNA". It matches the Rfam family "Bacterial small subunit ribosomal RNA", at positions 395 to 905 of the family's 1533-position model. The record is from RNAcentral.